UCUCACGAUGAAAAUUAAAAGGUGAUUUAGCACGUAGAAACCAAUUUGCCAAAUCAUUCAACUCAGACUUGGGAAGUGCCUGUAGCCCUGUACAUUUCCGAAUUGGCGUGCCUUGUGUGUCUCGCUGCCUGUUCUUUGGCUCACGUCUCACCCCAUUCAACAGGAAAAAGUAAAACAAACACUGGUGGUUACCUUGUUGCAGCCAAAUGGUGAAAGGUGUGACAAAGACAAAUUGAACUGUUGUAUGCAGCAUGUGGUUGCAGUGUAAUCCAGAAGUUGCUGUGCUGUUGUAGCUGAGCUGUUGCAUCUGGGUUCCUGACUUAAACAUUUUUGUGUUUGUGUUUUCAUCCAUGCCAUAUGAAAUUGCUCUGCCAGUGAUAU
This is a long non-coding RNA of Daphnia pulex (common water flea), 381 nucleotides long. RefSeq lists it as uncharacterized. NCBI's taxonomy places the organism in Eukaryota, Metazoa, Arthropoda, Branchiopoda, Diplostraca, Daphniidae. The transcript has 3 exons. The record is from RefSeq and is a predicted model, not a curated record.